This 405-nucleotide ribosomal RNA is filed under the name uncultured Pseudomonadota bacterium. RNAcentral's name for it is "bacterial SSU rRNA". It matches the Rfam family "Bacterial small subunit ribosomal RNA", at positions 657 to 1060 of the family's 1533-position model. The record is from RNAcentral. Lineage: Bacteria; Pseudomonadati; Pseudomonadota.
GCAGGUCGACGAUUCACGUGUAGCAGUGAAAUGCGUAGAGAUCGGGAGGAAUACCAGUGGCGAAGGCGGCCUUCUGGACUGACACUGACACUGAGGUGCGAAAGCGUGGGUAGCAAACAGGAUUAGAUACCCUGGUAGUCCACGCCGUAAACGAUGUCGACCAGCCGUUGGGUGCCUAGCGCACUUUGUGGCGAAGUUAACGCGAUAAGUCAACCGCCUGGGGAGUACGGCCGCAAGGUUAAAACUCAAAUGAAUUGACGGGGGCCCGCACAAGCGGUGGAGCAUGUGGUUUAAUUCAAUGCAACGCGAAGAACCUUACCUACUCUUGACGUCCUGCGAACUGGUGAAAGAUCACUGGGUGCCUUCGGGAACGUAGAGACAGGUGCUGCAUGGCUGUCGUCAGCU